CCUACGGGGGGCAGCAGUGGGGAAUAUUGCACAAUGGGGGGAACCCUGAUGCAGCGACGCCGCGUGAGUGAAGACGGAUUUCGGUAUGUAAAGCUCUAUCAGCAGGGAAGAAAAUGACGUUACCUGACUAAGAAGCCCCGGCUAACUACGUGCCAGCAGCCGCGGUAAUGCGUAGGGGGCAGGCGUUAUCCGGAUUUACUGGGGUUAAAGGGAGCGCAGACGGCUGUGCAAGUCUGGAGUGAAAGGCGGGGGCCCAACCCCCGGCCUGCUGUGGAAACUGUAAAGCUGGAGUGCAGGAGAGGUAAGCGGAAUUCCUGGUGUAGCGGUGAAAUGCGUAGAUAUUAGGAGGAACACCAGUGGCGAAGGCGGCUUACUGGACUGCAACUGACGUUGAGGCUCGAAAGCGUGGGUAGCAAACAGGAUUAGAUACCCUUGUAGUC
Molecule: ribosomal RNA, 440 nt
Filed under: uncultured bacterium
Lineage: Bacteria
Description: partial 16S ribosomal RNA
Rfam family: Bacterial small subunit ribosomal RNA
Source: RNAcentral